Molecule: ribosomal RNA, 445 nt
Filed under: uncultured bacterium
Lineage: Bacteria
Description: bacterial SSU rRNA
Rfam family: Bacterial small subunit ribosomal RNA
Source: RNAcentral
GUGAGGAAUAUUGCGCAAUGGAGGCAACUCUGACGCAGCCAUGCCGCGUGCAGGAAGAAGGCGCUACGCGUUGUAAACUGCUUUUAACCGGGAAGAAACCCCAGGACGUGUCCUGGGUUGACGGUACCGGAGGAAUAAGCACCGGCUAAUUUCGUGCCAGCAGCCGCGGUAAUACGAAGGGUGCAAGCGUUAUCCGGAUUCAUUGGGUUUAAAGGGUGCGUAGGCGGAGCGUUAAGUCAGUGGUGAAAUCCUGCAGCUUAACUGUAGACUUGCCAUUGAUACUGGCGCUCUUGAGUGCGCUUGAAGUGGGCGGAAUGUGCCGUGUAGCGGUGAAAUGCUUAGAUAUGGCACAGAACACCAAUUGCGAAGGCAGCUCACUAAGGCGAUACUGACGCUGAGGCACGAAAGCGUGGGGAUCGAACAGGAUUAGAAACCCCUGUAGUCC